RNAcentral lists this long non-coding RNA (834 nucleotides) under Musa acuminata (dwarf banana). RNAcentral describes it as "long non-coding RNA (MACU_LNC008683)". Lineage: Eukaryota; Viridiplantae; Streptophyta; Magnoliopsida; Zingiberales; Musaceae. The record is from RNAcentral.
GAUUUAUGAAAGUUUCAGAUUUAAGUUAAAAAAAAAAAAUUAGUGGACAUGUGUCAUUAGCUAACCUAAUGGUGCCACCUAAGUUUGCUCUAAGGAUGACAUCUAGCACUUUUCAUGCAUGCUUAGCACUUUUCAUGCAUGCUUGCCACCUUGAAACUUUGCAACUCUUGUGUUAACCAAAAGUAAUUAAAUAAGAGAUUAAAGGAGAAACUAAAUGUAACCUUCUGCAUCCAACGUGAGUCUAAGAAGAGAAGAGAAGGGAAGAAGAAGAAGAGGAAUUGAAGAAGAAGAUUUGAUUGAGGUUUUUGCAUCAACUCCCCCUAUUUGGGAAUCAAAUUUGUUUAAGGCAAGUGUUCUAACCUCUUCCUAUAGAAUUCCUAAUCUCUGUUUUCCUUUUAAUUCUUCAUAAUUCAAAAGAUUUCAGCUUAGUACCAAACCGUUCUUUCCUUUUGAUACAAAGCCAAGAAUCUGAAAUCUUUUUGGUAAUCUGACUUCUAUACAUUGUUUUGGAUCUAACUUUUACCACUAAACUCUGAUUUAGGCAAAACCUAAUCCAUUUGAAAGUAGACUCAAAUAUCUUUAUUUUGACACUAAGAUUGAAUGAUUUGGAGUUUAAAUGCCUACUAAGACUUCUGUUUCAAUUAACCCUAUAAAUUCUGUAAAAUAGGGACUGAAAUUUCUGAUCUCUUGUUGCUUAACUACUUAUAACUUUCUGCUGUGAACUCAGAUUCAUAGAAAGUAUGAUUUAUUCGAAGCUAGACUCAAAAUGCUUUCUGUAUAUACCUGAUUUGAAAUUUUUGGAGUACAAUUGCUAACUGAAACAUCUGCUUUCAU